GGUAGUAUGGCUGAGACAGCGGUAGGCUGUAAACCUACACACAGGAUAAUAACCUUACUGCCA
This 63-nucleotide transfer RNA is filed under the name Bungarus fasciatus (banded krait). RNAcentral describes it as "tRNA-Tyr". Lineage: Eukaryota; Metazoa; Chordata; Lepidosauria; Squamata; Elapidae. The record is from RNAcentral.